GGAGCGGGGAGAUUAUUGUGGCCUAGAGCAUCCGUAGCCGGCUGAGCAAGUCCCCUGUUAAAUCCAGCGAUUCAAUCGUUGGCUCGCGGGGGAUACUGCUCGGCUAGGGGGCGAGAGAGGCCGUCGGUAUUCCCGGGGUAGGGGUGAAAUCCUAUAAUCCCGGGAGGACCACCAGUGGCGAAGGCUGUCGGCUAGAACGCGCUCGACGGUGAGGGAUGAAAGCUGGGGGAGCGAACCGGAUUAGAUACCCGGGUAGUCCCAGCUGUAAACGAUGCAGGCUAGGUGUUAGGGCGGCCACGUGCCGCUCUAGUGCCGCAGGGAAGCUGUUAAGCCUGCCGCCUGGGGAGUACGGCCGCAAGGCUGAAACUUAAAGGAAUUGGCGGGGGGAGCACAAC
This 395-nucleotide ribosomal RNA is filed under the name uncultured archaeon. RNAcentral's name for it is "bacterial SSU rRNA". It matches the Rfam family "Archaeal small subunit ribosomal RNA", at positions 489 to 882 of the family's 1478-position model. The record is from RNAcentral.